AGUGGAUGGGGAGCAACCUAGUUGUGCGUGUGUAAAGGUAGUGCCAAGAAAAGCGAUGAUCAUGUUGAAAAUCAAUUCCCGGUACCCGAAACCGACACAGGUGGGCAAGUAGAGAAUACUAAGGGGCGCGAGGUAACUCUCUCCAAGGAACUCGGCAAAAUGACCCCGUAACUUAGGGAGAAGGGGUGCCACCGAGAGGUGGUCGCAGUGAAGAGGCCCAGGCGACUGUUUAGCAAAAACAUAGGUCUCUGCAAACUCGAAAGAGGAGGUAUAGGGGCUGACGCCCCAGUGCCGGAAGGUUAAAGAAGUUGGUCAGUCUUAGGAUGAAGCUAGCGACUGAAGCCCCGGUGAACGGCGGCCGUAACUAUAACGGUCCUAAGGUAGCGAAAUUCCUUGUCGGGUAAGUUCCGACCCGCACGAAAGGCGUAACGAUCUGGGCGCUGUCUCGGAGAGAGGCUCGGCGAAAUAGGAUUGUCUGUGAAGAUACGGACUACCUGCAUUUGGACAGAAAGACCCUAUGAAGCUUUACUAUAGCUUGGAAUUGUGUUCGGGCUUCCUGUGCGCAGGAUAGGUGGGAGGCGUAGAAGGUAUUCUUGUGGGGAUACUGGAGCCAACGGUGAGAUACCACUCUCAGGAGGCUAGAAUUCUAACUUAAUUAAGGACAGUUUCAGGUGGGUAGUUUGACUGGGGCGGUCGCCUCCAAAAAGGUAACGGAGGCGUACAAAGGUUCCCUCAGACUGGUUGGAAAUCAGUCGAAGAGUGCAAAGGCAGAAGGGAGCUUGACUGCGAGAAGUACAGUUCGAGCAGGGUGGAAACACGGUCUUAGUGAUCCGACGGUGCUGUGUGGAAGGGCCGUCGCUCAACGGAUAAAAGUUACUCUAAGGAUAACAGGCUGAUCUCCCCCAAGAGUUCACAUCGACGGGGAGGUUUGGCACCUCGAUGUCGGCUCAUCGCAACCUGGGGCGGAAGUACGUCCCAAGGGUUGGGCUGUUCGCCCAUUAAAGCGGUACGUGAGCUGGGUUCAGAACGUCGUGAGGCAGUUCGGUCCAUAUCCGAUGUAGGCGUGAGAAUAUUGAGAGGAGCCUUCCUUAGUACGAGAGGACCGGGAAGGACGCACCGCUGGUGUACCUGUUAUGAUGCCAAUUGUAAACGCAGGGUAGCCAAGUGCGGAGAGGAUAACCGCUGAAAGCAUCUAAGUGGGAAGCCCACCUCAAGAUGAGUAUUCUGGUGUAAGGUCACGGGAAGACGACCCGUAAAUAGGCACGAGGUGGAAGUGCAGAGAUGUAUGAAGCCGAAGUGUACUAAUAGACCGUCGGCUUGACC
RNAcentral lists this ribosomal RNA (1323 nucleotides) under metagenome. RNAcentral's name for it is "bacterial LSU rRNA". It matches the Rfam family "Bacterial large subunit ribosomal RNA", at positions 1561 to 2925 of the family's 2925-position model. The record is from RNAcentral.